AUCCAGAUGUACUCUCCCAGGUGGCACAGCAGAGCUGCUGCAUCUGUGGCCAGAGCGGAGCCACCAUCACCUGCUGUGAAACAGACUGUGACCUGAGCUUCCACCUGCCCUGUGCCAAGUAGGGAGGCCGUGUCACCCAGUUCAUGGCACCGUACAGGGCCUUCUGCCCCACACACAGCCCAGAGCAGGCACUGGAGGCGAC
Long non-coding RNA from Neopelma chrysocephalum (saffron-crested tyrant-manakin), 202 nucleotides. RefSeq lists it as uncharacterized. The record is from RefSeq and is a predicted model, not a curated record. Lineage: Eukaryota; Metazoa; Chordata; Aves; Passeriformes; Pipridae. The transcript is spliced from 3 exons.